Molecule: ribosomal RNA, 1333 nt
Filed under: mouse gut metagenome
Description: bacterial LSU rRNA
Rfam family: Bacterial large subunit ribosomal RNA
Source: RNAcentral
GCUUGGAAGCAGCCAUUCAUUUAAAGAGUGCGUAACAGCUCACUAGUCGAGGAGUCGGGCGUGGAUAAUAAUCGGGUAUCAAGUUGUCUACCGAAGCAGUGGGAUCAUUAAUAUGAUCGGUAGGGGAGCAUUCCAGUCAGCGUCGAAGGCGUACCGUGAGGUAUUCUGGAGCGUCUGGAAAAGCAAAUGUAGGUAUAAGUAACGAUAAAGGGGGCGGGAAACCCCCUCGCCGAAAGACUAAGGUUUCCUGAUCAACGCUAAUCGGAUCAGGGUCAGUCGGGUCCUAAGGCUCAGCCGAACGGCGAUGCCGAUGGCAGAAACGGUUAAUAUUCCGUUACUACCUUCAGGAGUGACGUGGAGACGCAGUAGUGACAGUGCCGCCAUCUGACGGAAUAGAUGGUUGAAGGGUGUAGGAGUCGAUCAUGGCAGGCAAAUCCACCAUGAGAUCCGAACCUGAUAGUAUGCCGCGUCCUUCGGGACAAGGCAAUAGUGCGCGUAAGCAUGCUGCCGAGAAAAUCCGCUAAACUUAAUCCUGCAGGUACCCGUACCGCAAACGGACACACGUAGUCGGGAUGAAUAUUCUAAGGCGCUUGAGUGAUUCACGGUUAAGGAACUAGGCAAACUGACCCUGUAACUUCGGGAUAAAGGGUCCCUACCCUUUUAUGGGAGGGCGCAGAGAAUCGGUCCAGGCAACUGUUUAACAAAAACACAGGGCUGUGCCAAAUCGAAAGAUCCAGUAUACAGCCUGACACCUGCCCGGUGCUGGAAGGUUAAGAGGAGAUGUCAUCGAUAAGAGAAGCGUUGAAUUGAAGCCCCAGUAAACGGCGGCCGUAACUAUAACGGUCCUAAGGUAGCGAAAUUCCUUGUCGGGUAAGUUCCGACCUGCACGAAUGGUGUAAUGAUCUGGACACUGUCUCAACCGUGAGCUCAGUGAAAUUGUAGUAUCGGUGAAGAUGCCGAUUACCCGCGAUGGGACGAAAAGACCCCGUGAACCUUUACUAUAGCUUAUCAUUGAAUUUGGGCACGUGAUGUGUAGGAUAGGUCGGAGGCUUUGAAGCAGGUACGCCAGUAUUUGUGGAGCCGCUGUUGAAAUACGACCCUUUAUUUGUUUGGAUUCUAACCCGUGGAUACGGGGACAUUGAUUGGUGGGUAGUUUGACUGGGGUGGUCGCCUCCAAAAGCGUAACGGAGGCUUCUAAAGGUGCCCUCCGGCCGAUUGGUAACCGGCCUUAGAGUGUAAUGGCAUAAGGGCGCUUGACUGGGAGACUAACAAGUCGAUCAGGUAGGAAACUAGAGCAUAGUGAUCCGGUGUUUCCGUAUGGAAGGGACAUCGC